This is a long non-coding RNA of Gadus macrocephalus (Pacific cod), 2576 nucleotides long. RefSeq lists it as uncharacterized. The transcript has 3 exons. The record is from RefSeq and is a predicted model, not a curated record. NCBI's taxonomy places the organism in Eukaryota, Metazoa, Chordata, Actinopteri, Gadiformes, Gadidae.
UCACUUAAGAGGGAACCGGACAGUACGUUGGGGUCCUCCACUGUUUGGCAGUGUAGCGUCUCCCAAACGCGGUUAAAGACUUUUUGAAGUAAAGAAGAGCAUCUCAUCUGAACCUGAUGUCUAUCAUGGAUAUUUAACUGCAAUUCUGUGAGUAUCCCAAUUUAACCAUGAAGAUGAACUGCAAACUGUAAGUCAAAAGUUUCUCAUUACUCUUGGGCACAUUGAUGUAUUUUGGCUUCCUGGUGAGUUAACCCGUUACCAGAAGGUUGAUCUGAGUAGUAAGGAUGUUUUAUUGGUUCAUGGGUCACUUAGGAGUUUGGUUUAUGUUGGUUUUAAUGAUUUGUUGAAAUGGUUACGGGCUUCAAGUUAUUGUUGUAAGCUGGGGUAAUGGGUUGGGUUCUGACGUCUUCUGUCUUCUUUCCUUUACUUUCCUGAGCUCUGCAUCUUCAUCACAUGAGUGUUGCUUUACUGAUGAGGGUGUGGUCUGAGUGAGCGGAGGUGCAUACUGGGAUACAGAGCUGUCUGAAGUCUACAGGUCUGUAGACACGCCCCCUCAGGGGGAAACCGAGUGUUUGAGAAACCGUCGUGACGUCAGUUACAUGGACUAGAAUGUUCUUUAAGAUGGAGACAGGGAUUCAGAAGGAGAAACACCAGGGGGAGAUGAAGGGGCUCCUCAUCUCAACAGCUAAAACACAACUUCAGUCUGACACAGAGAUCCAUGGAACACAUUCAACAGUCCCCUCCAGACAUCGUGACUCCUCAGGAACAGUUUCAUUUCCAAGAAGGUCUAAAUUGGGGCCAUUACAAGAUGGAUCCUGCUCCUCAAGAGCCACCCCCCUCCACUGGCUGGUCUUCUGAACAGAUGACCUCCUUCCUGUCCUCAGGCUGACUAAAGCUGCACCGUUUGCAUCUGUGAAGGCCUCUCAUUCAGGAAACCACUGGACUACAAAGACAUGACUUCAGAGACGUUGAAUCAACCUGGGACACAUUUUGGAGACGCCAAGCAUAAUCCAUCACCAAUGUGGGACGCCACUGAAGAAUGUUGUACAUAAUUUACGUCUCUGGAGACAUUGGUUGUUCUGUUCUGGGUGCCCUGGCAGGAGAGCUGGGGUUGGAUGAUGGAAUGUUAUUUGGCAUGAGGUUUUUACCCUGCAUGAUUGUUUGGCCUUUUAUGGCUCAGUGGUGUGUGUUUGGGUUUGUUUUGAGAUGGAUGAUUUGAGUAUCGCUAUAGGGUUCUACUGUGUCUCCCCCUCACACCUGGCAUGGGGUUCUACGUGCGUGUGUCCGGCUUGCUUUGACAGUGAUAAUGUUCAUACAGGGGUCUGUGUGAUUGGCUUGGGAUAUUGGAAUGGUCAACUAAAUCAUACCUGAUGGACGGCCAACACCCUGGGCAGGAAGGAGAGUAUCCAACUCAAGUGUAAAAGGAUGCAAGCGGCGUGUUCAGAUCAGUGACUUCAAACUAGGACUACACCAAUCAGGAUCAAUGGAGGAUGGACACCUAAAGGAAUUCCAAAAGGAGAGUCUGAUGUUGGAAACGGACCUAAAUGGAUAGUCAAGAUAACCUUCAGACCUGUAAUGAGACGGCUCUUCCUACCUGGCUGGAUUGAUGGAGAGCCCUGUGGAUCUUGUCUUGCUCUCAGUUGCACGUCUUCUCAGGCUGAACUGUACUUGUUUCGGACAGGACUAGCUGAAAGAUUGGUUCCCUUAAAUCAGAACCAAUCUGGGAACUCCAACUAGUGCGCUCUUCGAGCUGAAGUUGUGCUCUUCAGCUGAGGAGGUAAGGAAACCUUCACUGGGGCUUCAAGGUGUAAAGAGGAGGAUGUUUCAAAGUGUUCCAUGGUAUUCUGAUGAAGACCGUUGUUGUGUUCCACUGGCUGAGAGGAAGAACCCUCACAUCUUCCUCCCGGCCUCUCCUCUGAAAAUCCUGGCGCCAUCUUGAAGGAUAUUCCAGCUCAUGUAACUGAUGUCAUGACAGAUUCUCAAACACUUGGUUUCUCCUGAGGGGCGUGUCUAUAGAACUGAAGACUUCAGAAAGCAUUGUAUCCCAGCAUGCAUCUAUGCUCACUUGGAUCACACCCCCAUGAGUAGGAUGCAACACUCCAGUGAUGGAGAUGUAGGGUUUUAUAAGUAACGAGGGAGCAGACAAAGGUGAUUGGAACACAAUGGCAUGUCAAGUCUGUAAAUCUUUAAACCAUGAAGAUGGUUGGAUAGUUCAGGAAUUGGGCUUCUUUUUAUUAUGGGUGGUCCUUUCACUCAGAUGCUCACUGGACCUGUACUUGUGUUAGCUGGCUGGCAUGAUUUGCUGUUGGUGAUGAGGCGGUCAGGGUGACGUUGCAGGGCUAUCGUCGGCUCUCUGUGAGCUCAACGUUUAGAUUUGCUCUGUAUGUUUUGUACCCAGAAUAAUCUAGAUAAUUGUAAAAUGUAGACACGGUUUUGUAUUGAAUUAUUUUAGGUUUAAAGUUGUUGUGGGACGUACAUGGUAGUUUGGUUCUUCGUCCGGUUUUGAGUGAUAUAACUUGUACACACUGGGUGCAUAAUAAUGUAAAGAUACACUGAAUAGUAGCAAUGACCAACAG